AAGCAAAACUUGGUGGCAGAUGAUCGAAGCUGUCUCAUGCAAUCUAAGCCCUCUAGGCAAAAAAGUCUUACCUAUUCCAGUGCUCUCUCCAUGAGACCAACUGUUACACAGACUUAAACAGU
Molecule: small nucleolar RNA, 122 nt
Organism: Mustela putorius furo (domestic ferret)
Lineage: Eukaryota; Metazoa; Chordata; Mammalia; Carnivora; Mustelidae
Source: Ensembl